This is a non-coding RNA of Parascedosporium putredinis, 101 nucleotides long. The record is from the annotation of a GenBank genome assembly. Lineage: Eukaryota; Fungi; Ascomycota; Sordariomycetes; Microascales; Microascaceae.
GGUCGUAUGGUCUAGUGGUUAGGACUCCGGAUUUUGAUUGGGGUCGGUUACCCAACCGUCAACAUCUUCCGGCAGCCCCGGUUCGAACCCGGGUACGACCU